GAUUAGUGGCGAACGGGUGAGUAACACGUGGGCAAUCUGCCCUUCACUCUGGGACAAGCCCUGGAAACGGGGUCUAAUACCGGAUAUGACCGGGAUCGCAUGGUCUCCGUGNUGGAAAGCUCCGGCGGUGAAGGAUGAGCCCGCGGCCUAUCAGCUUGUUGGUGAGGUAGUGGCUCACCAAGGCGACGACGGGUAGCCGGCCUGAGAGGGCGACCGGCCACACUGGGACUGAAGACACGGCCCANACUCCUACGGGGAGGCAGCAGUGGGGAAAUAUUGCACAAUGGGCGAAAGCCUGAUGCAGCGACGCCGCGUGAGGGAUGACGGCCUUCGGGUUGUAAACCUCUUUCAGCAGGGAAAGAAGCGAGAGUGACGGUACCUGCAAAAGAAGCGCCGGCUAACUACGUGCCAGCAGCCGCGGUAAUACGUAGGGCGCGAGCGUUGUCCGGAAUUAUUGGGCGUAAAGAGCUCGUAGGCGGCUUGUCACGUCGGNAUGUGAAAGCCCGGGGCUUAACCCCGGGUCUGCAUUCGAUACCGGCAGGCUAGAGUUCGGUAGGGGAGAUCGGAAUUCCUGGUGUAGCGGUGAAAUGCGCAGAUAUCAGGAGGAACACCGGUGGCGAAGGCGGAUCUCUGGGCCGAUACUGACGCUGAGGAGCGAAAGCGUGGGGANCGAACAGGAUUAGAUACCCUGGUAGUCCACGCCGUAAACGUUGGGAACUAGGUGUGGGCNACAUUCCACNUCNUCCGUGCCNCANCUAACGCAUUAAGUUCCCCNCCUGGGGAGUACGGNCCGCAAGNGCUAAACUCAAAGGAAUUGACGGGGGCCCGCACAAGCGGCGGAGCAUGUGGCUUAAUUCGACGCAACGCGAAGAACCUUACCAAGGCUUGACAUACACCGGAAAGCAUUAGAGAUAGUGCCCCCCUUGUGGUCGGUGUACAGGUGGUGCAUGGCUGUCGUCAGCUCGUGUCGUGAGAUGUUGGGUUAAGUCCCGCAACGAGCGCAACCCUUGUCCCGUGUUGCCAGCAGGCCCUUGNUGGNNUGCUGGGGACUCACGGGAGACCGCCGGGGUCAACUCGGAGGAAGGUGGGGACGACGUCAAGUCAUCAUGCCCCUUAUGUCUUGGGCUGCACACGUGCUACAAUGGCCGGUACAAUGAGCUG
This 1161-nucleotide ribosomal RNA is filed under the name Streptomyces sp. Q16. Its description in RNAcentral is "bacterial SSU rRNA". It matches the Rfam family "Bacterial small subunit ribosomal RNA", at positions 90 to 1249 of the family's 1533-position model. Lineage: Bacteria; Bacillati; Actinomycetota; Actinomycetes; Kitasatosporales; Streptomycetaceae. The record is from RNAcentral.